Rana temporaria (common frog) is the source of this 995-nucleotide RNA transcript. It is a transcript of the gene named MAPK regulated corepressor interacting protein 1, with no coding region annotated. The record is from RefSeq and is a predicted model, not a curated record. Lineage: Eukaryota; Metazoa; Chordata; Amphibia; Anura; Ranidae. The transcript has 6 exons.
CGCGCGCGCGCCCCCAUAUGCACUGCCUCCCGUGGGCGCGCCUGCCUUGACGUGACGUCACUUCCUCUCCGGGCCUGCCAGCUGGGAACCGGAGAAACAGCAACAGUGACUUUCCAGGACAAUCGUUUUCCUGGCAUUCCUCUGACAGACCAGCAAUGAGCAGCUCUACGGUGCCCCGUGUAGUUUAUAACGGCAAGCGCCCCACAAGCAGCACGCGCUCUCCAAGCAGCAGCGAGAUAUUCACACCAGCUCAUGAGGAGAAUGUACGGUUCAUUUACGAAGCAUGGCAGAGUGUGGAGCGGGACCUGAGGAACCAAGUGUCUGGUGGGGAACGUGGAUUUGUGGAAGAAUAUGUGGAGAAGCAACCAAGCAACAACCUGAAAUGUCAGUGACUCAAAGCUUUAGAACCAGCCUGGCAACUAGCAUGUUCAAAAAAAAAAAGCUUUCAAACCAGUUGAUCUGAACGACCUGAAGAGGAGAAGCACACAGGACCCCAAGAAGUCAUAACUUUCUUACAGCCGCUCGACUUUUUCCAACUGGCACAAUUGGGACUUCACCUUCAUCCGUUUCCAUUUGGUCGUCCAUUACUGACAGAACGAAUCUUCUUUGAGACUGUACUGUGUGGACUAGGCAGAGUUUUUCUGCGUCACCCCCCCCCCCCCAAAUCCCUUAUCGUCCCUUCCCCAGUAAGAAGAGAAAAAAGCUUCCCCCCCCUAUACCCUAGUUUGUCCUUUACCCUCCACCCCGAGCAUCUAAAGCCCCCCAAAAAAACUAUUGAAGCUCCCCCUUUUUAAUUUUUAUUUAACCAACUGAGAUUCUGACUUUGAGGGUGGUAUUGUAUAUUUAUGCGGUAGCUGGGUCCAUGUUCAAUCCCAGCAUCAAAAGUUCCAUAGGUCAACUAGCUAUUAAAUGGCUCAUCAUACCGUGUUCAGCUGUUGUCCUGCAAUACCAUCCAGACUACUCCUUCUAUUAAAGAUUAAAACAAAAAAAAGCAA